AUUGUAGCAUUCAUUAUUGCCUAAGCAGUGGAAACAAAACAAAAAACCACGAUAUGGGGACUGUUUAAGAAUAUUCUGACUCAUCCGUACGAUGACAAGCAAUCGUUAAAGAAUAAGAGAAUUUGGAAGUCCUGAAGAUGGUGGUACCAUGAGAUUUAAGGAGCCUAGGAACCUGAAUGACCAUGUGGAGCAGCAGAGCCUUGCCUUUCACCCUGGGAGCAAGUGAUGGGAUGUUUUGUUUUAGAGAGCUCCUAAGAUUUCUAGGAUAAUCAGUUAAAACUGCUAGAGUUAUCUUCCCUAACACAUAGACUUAGUGCCUAUUACUUCUAAUGUUACUUUCGUAUUAUAUGGAAAUUAUGUCUUUAUGCAUCUAUCUCUUCCAGUACAUUACUGGGGAAAUUUCACAAAGAGAGACACUUUUCCCCCUAACCUGUAUGUUGGUCAAGAGAGACACAUUUUUCUGAUCAAAGAUUGUGUUUGGUAUGCCAAGUGUUCAAUAAAUGUUUGUUGACCUAGAAACAUAUCAGUAGUAAAUACCAAUACUAAUAAUUAACAUGUAUUUGGUGCUUAUAUGAGAAAGGCACAGGCACUUACACUCAUUGCUUUAUAUAAUCCUCAUAAUUCACAAAUGUUACUUAAGUGCUUACCAUAUAUUGGUUUCUGUAGGAUGCAGUGGGUAUACAUUAGUGAACAAGACAGAUAAAAGUUCCUGUCUUCAUAAAGCAUAAAUAAUAGGUGAAAUGAUCAGAUAAAGAAGUGAGAAAAAAUUAGAAUAUUAGGUGCUGAAAAGCGCAUUGGAGAAACAUGAAGUAGAGUAGGAUGAAGGAGGCUGAUAAUGGUUGGGGCAUGUUGCUAUUCUAAACAUGCGGCAACAGAAGACCUCCUAAAAAAGACAGCAUUUGAACAGGCACUGAAGGUUAUGAGGUCGCAGACAGUGGCUGCCGGGGGAAGAGCAUUACAGCCAGAGAGAAUGGCAAGUUCAAAAGCUUGGAAGAAGAAAUGCGCUCACAGCAGCUGUACAAGGAAGAACCCAACAUUUGAUAGGCCUCUGGAUCUUGGAAGCAACAGACAUCACAUUUGAUUGCCUAUUCUGACUCAAUAACUGGAUAACUCACAAACCUAUCAUCUUCGAGUGGGCCCCUGAGCAAGCAAGAGGUCUUUAGCUUGUCUAAGCUACAGUGCAAGCAGCACUGACCUUAGCUUUUAGGAUCCAGCAUACCCAAAGAGCCCAAAACUGUCAUGGCUGGUCAGGAUGUUGUGUAAAGUCUACAGCAAGGCUCUACAGGAGAAUCACAGUUGAGAACCAUAAAAUUUUGGAGCAAAACUAUGUUCUCUUCAAGUAACUUUUCUUUUUCACUGAACACUUGAACAUGGCCCACCAGAGACCUGAGCUGUUCCCCAUGAACUGGAAGCUGUCUGAUCCACAAAGCAAAAUUUCAUAAUAUAUUGAGGAUUAUUCCAUCCUUAAGUGGAAGUGAUUUGCAGGAUGUCUCACUCCAGAAUGUUCUGAAAGCAAUGGUAAGUUGAAUAAACAGUGAAUAGCUCAUAUUCUGCUGCUCUUUUACCUCUCUCUUUCCAGCAACUAUGACCUGGUGGUGAGUUCCCUAUGACCAACUGACAGAGGAGGAAAAAACAGUCUAUCCUGGUUUAAAUACGCCCUCACAUCAGCUGAGGGUGACAAUUGCAACACCACAACCACACUUGGGAAUGCCUGGAGGAUUGUGACAAAGAUGGGUAUUCCCAGUGGUCCACUUUGCCUGGAAGAUGAGAUGUCCAGAGGUGAGGCUUUCCUCUGAUUCAUGAGCAGUGGCUAGUGUUUGGAGCUGUAUGGGCAGGAAUUUGGAAAGAAUACAACUGCAAGAUUAGGGAAGAAUUAUAUUGUUGGACCUCUUCAAAUGGAUCCAGAGUACGAGAAUAUUUGUGUCUUAUGAGAAUACUCACCCAAGGCCUUACUGAGGAAGAUCUCAGUAAUCAGGAGGCUGUGAUCACCUGCUCUGGCUGAAUGUCAGGCAGCCUCUUUUUCCAGUUACUCCAGCGAUUGCUCAAAGGGCUCACUAAUGAAGCGGCCUUGGUGGAAGGUGCAGAGUUUAUGGAAGGAUUCAGUAACAUAAGCAUGUACUCACCCAGGGCCACUCUGACCACUGCUAAGUGCCCAGUUGACAUACAUAGAGGCCAAACCUGAGCCUCUGAAGGAGAGUCAGAUCCUCAGGGGCCUGUGUACUCUGUGGUUGUGGAUUAUUUGCAUUGGAUCCUUUCCAUCAUGGAGAGGGCAAUGAUUUUCCUUAUUGAAAUAGUUGAUUCAUUCAUUCAAAAAUAUCGAUUAAACACAUGCUAUGUACCAGGCAGAGUUCUAGGUACUUGGGAUAUAUCAAUAAACAAAGAGAACAAAGUUUGUUGCCCUUAAGAAA
Long non-coding RNA from Symphalangus syndactylus (siamang), 2408 nucleotides. RefSeq lists it as uncharacterized. The record is from RefSeq and is a predicted model, not a curated record. NCBI's taxonomy places the organism in Eukaryota, Metazoa, Chordata, Mammalia, Primates, Hylobatidae.